This is a long non-coding RNA of Mus caroli (Ryukyu mouse), 301 nucleotides long. RefSeq lists it as uncharacterized. The record is from RefSeq and is a predicted model, not a curated record. Lineage: Eukaryota; Metazoa; Chordata; Mammalia; Rodentia; Muridae.
GUUACACAAAUGGGAAAAUCAAUAUGGAUGGAGAGGUGACCAGGUUCUUCUAGCAACCCAAUAAAGAACAUUGAUCUGAGGAUUCACCAUGGGACAGAACUUAGUGGACUUCAGAGACCAUCAAAUUGACAAUCAUGACGAACAAGAAAAUGAUCUGGAACACUAACUGCCUGGCACAUGAUGAACAAGAACACAAGAUAGAUUGGGAAGCCAAGGUUGGGGUUUUUGAGUUUCACGUGUUCUUCAACCAGCAAGAAUAUAAGAAUCUUCUUUGUCUUGGGUGAUUCCUCUAAAACUGUAA